This 329-nucleotide unclassified non-coding RNA is filed under the name soil metagenome. RNAcentral describes it as "partial contains 5.8S ribosomal RNA, internal transcribed spacer 2, and large subunit ribosomal RNA". The stretch from base 1 to 120 matches the Rfam family "5.8S ribosomal RNA", at positions 35 to 154 of the family's 154-position model. The record is from RNAcentral.
GAUGAAGAACGUAGUGAAAUGCGAUAAGUAAUGUGAAUUGCAGAAUUCAGUGAAUCAUCGAAUCUUUGAACGCACAUUGCGCCCGCUAGUAUUCUGGCGGGCAUGCCUGUUCGAGCGUCAUUUCACCACUCAAGCCUGGCUUGGUGUUGGGCGACGUCCCCUUUGGGGACGCGCCUCGAAACGCUCGGCGGCGUGGCACCGGCUUUAAGCGUAGCAGAAUCUUUCGCUUUGGAAGUCGGGGCCCCGUCUGCCGGAAGACCUACUCGCAAGGUUGACCUCGGAUCAGGCAGGGAUACCCGCUGAACUUAAGCAUAUCAAUAAGCGGAGGA